This is a long non-coding RNA of Talpa occidentalis (Iberian mole), 822 nucleotides long. RefSeq lists it as uncharacterized. The transcript has 6 exons. The record is from RefSeq and is a predicted model, not a curated record. NCBI's taxonomy places the organism in Eukaryota, Metazoa, Chordata, Mammalia, Eulipotyphla, Talpidae.
GCCAAGUGAGUGUAUGCAUCUUUCAUCCCCAGCCCCUCCGCCGUGUUCCUGAACCCCGUCGGCCUGCAGGACGGACCGACAAGUGGCGCCCAGCCUGGGACACUAGUACAAGGGAUCCUCUGAGGGACAGAUCAGUCAGUAAGUUGGCAAGGAUGUGGAGAAAAAAGGAACUCUCCUGCACUGCUGGUGGGAGUGCAAACUGGUCCAACCACCAUGGAAAGCUGUGUGGAGAUUCCUCAACCUGCUAAAGAUGGAGCUUCCAUAUGAUCCAGCAAUUCAACUCCUAGGUUGCAUAAAACUAGAGGAGACUGGAUCAGUGCUUAAGAUACAGCAGACCUUCACCAUAGAAGACAGGAAUUAACAGGUGUUUUUGAAUGAUGUACAUCACAGCAUGACAAUGACUACCAGAGACACAGAAGGAGAGUGACCCUGUGACUUCUGAACCCUCCAAAUUCCCUGCAGAUCACAUCAAACAGUCCUGAAGAGGAACAGUCUCAGGAGGAAAGUGACCAAUUGGGGGAAAGUUCCCUUGUGAUGCAUUAGCAUUGCGAAAGAAAGUGACUGUGAAGAAUUACAAGAGAGAGAACAUUAUUACAGUUGUGUGUCUUCACCCCAGACUUGGUGCUGUUGUAUAAGGUUAUAUUGACCCUUUGAAUAAGAUGCAGCAAAGCCCUUCCUGCUCUAACUAAGCAGUCUGAUCAAGAACAGGAGCUCUAGGACCAAAUUGUCCUAGAGAUAAAGAUCUUUACCUCUCUCAUUAGUAUUCCAUUGGACUACAGUGAGAAUUACAUGGAUUAGAACAGACUUGGCAUAACAACUGGU